GGGCCCGCGACGCAUUAGCUAGUUGGUGGGGUAAAGGCUUACCAAGGCAAUGAUGCGUAGCCGAACUGAGAGGUUGAUCGGCCACAUUGGGACUGAGACACGGCCCAAACUCCUACGGAAGGCAGCAG
RNAcentral lists this ribosomal RNA (128 nucleotides) under uncultured bacterium. Its description in RNAcentral is "partial 16S ribosomal RNA". It matches the Rfam family "Bacterial small subunit ribosomal RNA", at positions 227 to 354 of the family's 1533-position model. The record is from RNAcentral.